CUGGUUUUAAUAUGGCAAGAAAAAUAAUAGAGUACCUGCAUAUUCAAAAUAGAAAGUCAAGUUCAAGAUCUUUAAGUGGAAAAUUGUCUCACUGGGAGAACAAUCUUAAUUUCCAUUUAAUCCCAAAUAUCUGUUAGUUGUUUAAGUUUGAAAAUAAGCUUGUCAAUUUUGCUGAAAAUAAUACAUUUUAUGUUCUGGUUGGCGAUUCUAAUGUGAGACCAAAGAUAGUCGGCAAUCAAUAUGGAGAAGGCCCAUCCUUUGUGCUUGUCUAUAUCUCAUCUCGUUGAAGAUGUUGAAGCAUGCCUAAAUUUUGGUGGAAUAACAAAAAGUCAGCGUAAAUCAAGUUAAGGAUUCUGAUGGUGUGCAAACAUCAAAGGAACAUCAUUCUAAUAGGAGAAGCAAUAGUGAUCUGCAUCUGGCUUUUAAUGGUGAAGAUAAGACAAAAUCUGCAUCAAUCUGACAGGCCUUUGACAAGGAUGGUGAUGUCGCUUUAAUGGGACUCACCUACAACACAAGGAAAGCCCACAUUAGAUCAUUUGGUGCCCCAUAUGGCAAAGAAGACAACACAGUCAUAUCAAUUGAUGAUUCCUAUGAUAAAGAAGACAUAAAAAUAAUUUCUUUUGAUGGUUUCCCAGAUGAAAAAGGAUGUUAACCCUGUGGGGAGGCCUGACAUAGACUUCAUUCAAUUUUUAUAAUCAAUCUUCAGUUCAUGUGUCAAUACCUUAUGAGAAAGAGAUAGAUGCUUCUAAUGUUGACUAAAUAAAGUUUAAAACCGUGUCCAAGAAUAAGCAAAAGUUCAAAACAACAUGCUUCAACUCAAUUAGUUAUAAGGUGUCGACCUCUUAUACACCACCCUGCACUGGUAAUGGAAUAGUAUUCAUUUUGUUGCAUGAGAAAUAAGAUAUUCAUCGCAAAACAGAAACGAUAAAUAGUGGUACCUGAGCAAUAUGCUUAACAGAGAUCAGUUUAAUCAUUACAAAUGAUGCAUACCAUCCUUGCUUUAGACCAGAAUAUUUCCAAGAGCCCUUCGGCAUCAUCAUCAAUAUAAAAGAGGGUAUCCAUGGGCAGCCCAACAUCAGAACAAAAAGGGAAAUCCAAUCAGGAAUGGACUAUCAGUUAAUAAAAGGCUGUAAAGAGAUGGCAUCAGGAAUGGCCUAUGCUGUUACAGAUUUCAAAUAAAAUCNNNNNNNNNNNNNNNNNNNNNNNNNNNNNNNNNNNNNNNNNNNNNNNNNNNNNNNNNNNNNNNNNNNNNNNNNNNNNNNNNNNNNNNNNNNNNNNNNNNNCAAUUUUUGUCCUACCCAAUUUCGCAGUCUCCUUGCAUCGGUUGACUCAUAAGAAUUUUCCCUGAUCAGUAGACAUUCAAUUUGUUAAGAGUUUAUCAUCUUGUAUGUUCAUUAUUUUUUUUUGUGUGCUCAUCAGACCGAUCAUAAGUCUUGUAAUGUUUAAAGUGCAAGCACGUUACCCAUGAUUAAGUUGAUCUAGGUAAUGAUUUUUAACACAAGCCUUAGACAAAAGAUGUGAAGAUCUUAAAUAUGAUUUUUAUGAAGAACUUGUAAUUCACAGAUUCCCUGAACUUUGUUUUAAAGAUUAGAUUAAGGAAUGAAUUCGUCUCACAGGAUUGUAAGAGUCAAAGCGUGAGUGCUCACAUUUUUAUAUGAAGGACAAUCUAUACCCGUCAAUCCUUGGUCUUAAUAUGGCAAGAAAAAUAAUAGAGUACCUGCAUAUUCAAAAUAGAAAGUCAAGUUCAAGAUCUUUAAGUGGAAAAUUGUCUCACUGGGAGAACAAUCCUAAUUUCCAUUUAAUCCCAAAUAUCUGUCAGUUGUUUAAGUUUGAAAAUAAGCUUGUUAGUUUUGCUGAAAAUAAUACAUUUUAUGUUCUGGUUUGCGAUUCUAAUGUGAGACCAAAGAUAGUCGGCAAUCAAUAUGGAGAAGGCCCAUCCUUUGUGCUUGUCUAUAUCUCAUCUCGUUGAAGAUGUUGAAGCAUGCCUAAAUUUUGGUGGAAUAACAAAAAGUCAGCGUAAAUCAAGUUAAGGAUUCUGAUGGUGUGCAAACAUCAAAGGAACAUCAUUCUAAUAGGAGAAGCAAUAGUGAUCUGCAUCUGGCUUUUAAUGGUGAAGAUAAGACAAAAUCUGCAUCAAUCUGACAGGCCUUUGACAAGGAUGGUGAUGUCGCUUUAAUGGGACUCACCUACAACACAAGGAAAGCCCACAUUAGAUCAUUUGGUGCCCCAUAUGGCAAAGAAGACAACACAGUCAUAUCAAUUGAUGAUUCCUAUGAUAAAGAAGACAUAAAAAUAAUUUCUUUUGAUGGUUUCCCAGAUGAAAAAGGAUGUUAACCCUGUGGGGAGGCCUGACAUAGACUUCAUUCAAUUUUUAUAAUCAAUCUUCAGUUCAUGUGUCAAUACCUUAUGAGAAAGAGAUAGAUGCUUCUAAUGUUGACUAAAUAAAGUUUAAAACCGUGUCCAAGAAUAAGCAAAAGUUCAAAACAACAUGCUUCAACUCAAUUAGUUAUAAGGUGUCGACCUCUUAUACACCACCCUGCACUGGUAAUGGAAUAGUAUCCAGUUUUUUACAUGAGAAAUAAGGUAUUCAUCGCAAAACAGAAACGAUAAAUAGUGGUACCUGAGCAAUAUGCUUAACAGAGAUCAGUUUAAUCAUUACAAAUGAUGCAUACCAUCCUUGCUUUAGACCAGAAUAUUUCCAAGAGCCCUUCGGCAUCAUCAUCAAUAUAAAAGAGGGUAUCCAUGGGCAGCCCAACAUCAGAACAAAAAGGGAAAUCAAUCAGGGAGUUAGGCCAAACACUAGAUAGAGGACAUUAAGCUAAUAAAAGGCUGUAAAGAGAUGGCAUCAGGAAUGGCCUAUGCUGUUACAUAUUUCAAAUAGAAUCAUUAAGCCAAUCCAGCCAUGGACUAUCAGUUAAUAAAAUCUCAUAGGACAGCACUAAGCAGAAGUAAUUCGAAAUUAUUAUCCUCCAGUUACACUUUGAGGCAUUAAUGCAAUGAUAUUAGAGGAAAAUAAAAUGCUAUCGACAGUAAGGGCAUCAAUCAACAAAAUUUCAAAAGGGCUGCACUAAACAGUUACAUUCUGAAGUAAUAACAGAGCAAUAAAGUAUGAAAUUCAAAUCAGUCGGGGGUUACAAAUCAGUGUAGAAAAACAGUAAGGUACUAAGGCAAAGGGAAAUACAAUCAGCCGUGAAUAAUAUCCAGAGAGCAGUUUAGAGCAUUAAUAUUUUAAUUACGGUCAUCAUUAGCAAAUUAUAAAUAGCUCGACAGUUAUCACAUAGUCCUAAUCAGCAUUCAUGGGCAGUUAAAGUAUUGAAAUCAGAAAGCAAAAUUCAUGGGAUUUCAAAAGGGGCAGUUUCAGUCAGUAACUCAAAAAAAGCAAAAAAAGCAAAAGAGAAAGAAUACAAAAAAGAAAGAAAAGCAUUGCAACAGUGAUAAAAAGAGAACAAAUCAGAAAAAUUAGAGAGGAUAACAAGUGAAAAACAUGGAGCAUUCUAGAGAGAAAGGCAGAAAUAUAAACAGAGAGACUGACAUUCAAGCAAAGUCAA
This 3548-nucleotide long non-coding RNA is filed under the name Lupinus angustifolius (narrow-leaved blue lupine). RNAcentral's name for it is "long non-coding RNA (LANG_LNC001287)". Lineage: Eukaryota; Viridiplantae; Streptophyta; Magnoliopsida; Fabales; Fabaceae. The record is from RNAcentral.